UUGUCAUGGAAGCUGGCGAAAAGGAUGUCGGAGCAUUGGGACAGAUGUUUAGGUUUAGGGAAAGAAUAAGAUUCAAGGGGGGACUGGUAGAGAUGUGUGAAUAUAUUUCUAUCAUUUUGUAAAUCUUGGAUUGUAAUAAAUUAAC
Molecule: long non-coding RNA, 145 nt
Organism: Bufo bufo (common toad)
Lineage: Eukaryota; Metazoa; Chordata; Amphibia; Anura; Bufonidae
Exons: 5
Source: RefSeq, a predicted model, not a curated record